Molecule: long non-coding RNA, 1330 nt
Filed under: Bos indicus x Bos taurus (hybrid cattle)
Lineage: Eukaryota; Metazoa; Chordata; Mammalia; Artiodactyla; Bovidae
Description: lncRNA (ENSBIXG00000026641.1)
Source: RNAcentral
AUUGGUGGGGAGAUUUACCUGAGGCUGUCUGCUCCAGCAGAGCACACAGCUUUCAGGGCUGUGCUCACUUGUUCCAAAUCAAAGGUCCCCAGUUUAUAUGUGCAGUAUAAUAGUCUCUGCUCCCAUUUCUCAACUUCUUCAUGUCUAACACAAUCAUGGUUUCUUUUUUUUUCUUCAGGUAUCAACAUCCUGCACUACCAUGAGAUACAGGGAGAGUUGGCCCCAUUACCAGUUACAAAGGGAUCGUGGAGGGUGGUGUGGUUUGCUCGCCAUGUGAACUCAAGUGAGUCAUUUCAAGUCUCUGAAGCUGCUUCCUCAUGUAUGAAAUGAAACUCAAAAUCUCUACCCUGUCUACCUCUGAGGUUGUUUGUGGAACUGAGUCAGCAAAGAGACAGAAGAUUCCUUAAAACUCUGUGGAAAUACAAGGAUUCUUUAUUAUCAGGGGUUUCUGGAGGGAGUACAAGGAAGGUAUGUUGCUGUCUUCACAGAUCAACACCAACAUUUUCAAAAUCAAGUUGACACAUACAAAUUAAUAGUCCCAUCUUGAUAUGCUCACUGGACAAGAACAAGCAGAGACACUAAAGCACCGGCUGACCUGCUCACCCCGGCCCCAUCCCACUUCCUGCAAGUGCGCGUUUGUGGUUUUGGACAGCUUGCGCUGAGAAGUGAUCAGCUUUGAUUUUCUUUCUUUUUUUCCCACACAGCCAUAGAUUAGCCUACUGUCAUUCUGAAUAGAUAUGAAGACUGAAGUGUCAAUUUUAAUAGUGAUGGUGAGAGUAAAUUAAUAUACAGUGAAUCUGAGCUAAAUAUUACUGGCAGUAAUUUUAUCAUGAUCAUUUUUAUGACUAUAGCGUUCUAAAGAAAUAGAACUUGUAGGUUUGUUGGUGGUUCUCUUUCCCGUAGACAGCCAAGCAGAGCGUUUUCCUCUGAUCCUGGUGGAGUAGAAAGGUGAUAGGUUUUAGCCUAUCUUAGGCUGAAAUAGAACUCAGGCAAUUCUGAGUUCCAACCUUGAUCAAAUUACUUACUUUCUACUUAUGUAUUAUAACAGACCACUUUUUUUGUCAAACAUUUUUAGUUGCACUUUCGUAUCUUACAAAUCUUGUUGCUUGCAGGCCUUCUCACUCUUUGAAACAAUGAAAUUCAGGGCUUUGGGGAGAAGCCCAGUACCUUUAUAAAACAACAGAGCUAUUGCUCAGUUUUGACUUAAUGUUAGGCAUCUGAGUCCAUAGCAAGUUAAAAGUUUAAGGGGAGUUUUUUGGAGGAAGAAUACAGGAGUUAGGAUUUGCAUUUGGUUUCAUGUCACAGAAAUCUGGCCAGUAAGACUUUAUCC